GACGAACGCUGGCGGCGUGCUUAACACAUGCAAGUCGAACGGAAGGGCCCUGCUUUUGUGGGGUGCUCGAGUGGCGAACGGGUGAGUAACACGUGAGUAACCUGCCCUGGACUUUGGGAUAACUUCAGGAAAGUGGGGAUAAUACCUGAUAGGUGCUCCUGCUGCAUGGUGGGGGUUGGAAAGUUUCGGCGGUUGGGGAUGGACUCGCGGCUUAUCAGCUUGUUGGUGGGGUGGUGGCUUACCAAGUCUUUGAUGGGUGGUCGGCCUGAGAGGGUGACCGGGCACAUUGGGACUGCGAGACGGACCAGACUCCUACGGUAGGCAGCAGUGGGAAAUAUUGCACAAUGGGCGGAAGCCUGAUGCAGCAACGCCGCGUGCGGGAUGACGGCUUUCGGGUUGUAAACCGCUUUCGCCUGUGACGAAGCGUGAGUGACGGUAAUGGGUAAAGAAGCACCGGCUAACUACGUG
RNAcentral lists this ribosomal RNA (468 nucleotides) under uncultured bacterium. RNAcentral describes it as "partial 16S ribosomal RNA". It matches the Rfam family "Bacterial small subunit ribosomal RNA", at positions 28 to 507 of the family's 1533-position model. The record is from RNAcentral.